ACGAUAUGCUUUGGGGAGCUGUAAGUAAGCUUUGAUCCAGAGAUUUCCGAAUGGGGAAACCCAGCAUGAGUUAUGUCAUGUUAUCGAUAUGUGAAUACAUAGCAUAUCAGAAGGCACACCCGGAGAACUGAAACAUCUUAGUACCCGGAGGAAGAGAAAGAAAAUUCGAUUCCCUUAGUAGCGGCGAGCGAAACGGGAAGAGCCCAAACCAACAAGCUUGCUUGUUGGGGUUGUAGGACACUCUAUACGGAGUUACAAAGGACGACAUUAGACGAAUCAUCUGGAAAGAUGAAUCAAAGAAGGUAAUAAUCCUGUAGUCGAAAAUGUUGUCUCUCUUGAGUGGAUCCUGAGUACGACGGAGCACGUGAAAUUCCGUCGGAAUCUGGGAGGACCAUCUCCUAAGGCUAAAUACUCUCUAGUGACCGAUAGUGAACCAGUACCGUGAGGGAAAGGUGAAAAGCACCCCGGAAGGGGAGUGAAAUAGAACCUGAAACCGUGUGCUUACAAGUAGUCAGAGCCCGUUAAUGGGUGAUGGCGUGCCUUUUGUAGAAUGAACCGGCGAGUUACGAUUUGAUGCAAGGUUAAGCAGUAAAUGUGGAGCCGUAGCGAAAGCGAGUCUGAAUAGGGCGUUUAGUAUUUGGUCGUAGACCCGAAACCAGGUGAUCUACCCUUGGUCAGGUUGAAGUUCAGGUAACACUGAAUGGAGGACCGAACCGACUUACGUUGAAAAGUGAGCGGAUGAACUGAGGGUAGCGGAGAAAUUCCAAUCGAACCUGGAGAUAGCUGGUUCUCUCCGAAAUAGCUUUAGGGCUAGCCUCAAGUGAUGAUUAUUGGAGGUAGAGCACUGUUUGGACGAGGGGCCCCUCUCGGGUUACCGAAUUCAGACAAACUCCGAAUGCCAAUUAAUUUAACUUGGGAGUCAGAACAUGGGUGAUAAGGUCCGUGUUCGAAAGGGAAACAGCCCAGACCACCAGCUAAGGUCCCAAAAUAUAUGUUAAGUGGAAAAGGAUGUGGCGUUGCCCAGACAACUAGGAUGUUGGCUUAGAAGCAGCCAUCAUUUAAAGAGUGCGUAAUAGCUCACUAGUCGAGUGACACUGCGCCGAAAAUGUACCGGGGCUAAACAUAUUACCGAAGCUGUGGAUUGUCCUUUGGACAAUGGUAGGAGAGCGUUCUAAGGGCGUUGAAGCAUGAUCGUAAGGACAUGUGGAGCGCUUAGAAGUGAGAAUGCCGGUGUGAGUAGCGAAAGACGGGUGAGAAUCCCGUCCACCGAUUGACUAAGGUUUCCAGAGGAAGGCUCGUCCGCUCUGGGUUAGUCGGGUCCUAAGCUGAGGCCGACAGGCGUAGGCGAUGGAUAACAGGUUGAUAUUCCUGUACCACCUAUAAUCGUUUUAAUCGAUGGGGGGACGCAGUAGGAUAGGCGAAGCGUGCGAUUGGAUUGCACGUCUAAGCAGUAAGGCUGAGUAUUAGGCAAAUCCGGUACUCGUUAAGGCUGAGCUGUGAUGGGGAGAAGACAUUGUGUCUUCGAGUCGUUGAUUUCACACUGCCGAGAAAAGCCUCUAGAUAGAAAAUAGGUGCCCGUACCGCAAACCGACACAGGUAGUCAAGAUGAGAAUUCUAAGGUGAGCGAGCGAACUCUCGUUAAGGAACUCGGCAAAAUGACCCCGUAACUUCGGGAGAAGGGGUGCUCUUUAGGGUUAACGCCCAGAAGAGCCGCAGUGAAUAGGCCCAAGCGACUGUUUAUCAAAAACACAGGUCUCUGCUAAACCGUAAGGUGAUGUAUAGGGGCUGACGCCUGCCCGGUGCUGGAAGGUUAAGAGGAGUGGUUAGCUUCUGCGAAGCUACGAAUCGAAGCCCCAGUAAACGGCGGCCGUAACUAUAACGGUCCUAAGGUAGCGAAAUUCCUUGUCGGGUAAGUUCCGACCCGCACGAAAGGCGUAACGAUUUGGGCACUGUCUCAACGAGAGACUCGGUGAAAUCAUAGUACCUGUGAAGAUGCAGGUUACCCGCGACAGGACGGAAAGACCCCGUGGAGCUUUACUGUAGCCUGAUAUUGAAAUUCGGCACAGCUUGUACAGGAUAGGUAGGAGCCUUUGAAACGUGAGCGCUAGCUUACGUGGAGGCGCUGGUGGGAUACUACCCUAGCUGUGUUGGCUUUCUAACCCGCACCACUUAUCGUGGUGGGAGACAGUGUCAGGCGGGCAGUUUGACUGGGGCGGUCGCCUCCUAAAAGGUAACGGAGGCGCUCAAAGGUUCCCUCAGAAUGGUUGGAAAUCAUUCAUAGAGUGUAAAGGCAUAAGGGAGCUUGACUGCGAGACCUACAAGUCGAGCAGGGUCGAAAGACGGACUUAGUGAUCCGGUGGUUCCGCAUGGAAGGGCCAUCGCUCAACGGAUAAAAGCUACCCCGGGGAUAACAGGCUUAUCUCCCCCAAGAGUUCACAUCGACGGGGAGGUUUGGCACCUCGAUGUCGGCUCAUCGCAUCCUGGGGCUGUAGUCGGUCCCAAGGGUUGGGCUGUUCGCCCAUUAAAGCGGUACGCGAGCUGGGUUCAGAACGUCGUGAGACAGUUCGGUCCCUAUCCGUCGUGGGCGUAGGAAAUUUGAGAGGAGCUGUCCUUAGUACGAGAGGACCGGGAUGGACAUACCUCUGGUGUACCAGUUGUCGUGCCAACGGCAUAGCUGGGUAGCUAUGUGUGGACGGGAUAAGUGCUGAAAGCAUCUAAGCAUGAAGCCCCCCUCAAGAUGAGAUUUCCCAACUUCGGUUAUAAGAUCCCUCAAAGAUGAUGAGGUUAAUAGGUUCGAGGUGGAAGCAUGGUGACAUGUGGAGCUGACGAAUACUAAUCGAUCGAAGACUUAAUCAAAUU
Molecule: ribosomal RNA, 2859 nt
Filed under: Staphylococcus aureus
Lineage: Bacteria; Bacillati; Bacillota; Bacilli; Caryophanales; Staphylococcaceae
Description: bacterial LSU rRNA
Rfam family: Bacterial large subunit ribosomal RNA
Source: RNAcentral